GAUGAACGCUGGCGGCGUGCCUAAUACAUGCAAGUAGAACGCUGAAGCUUGGUGCUUGCACCGAGCGGAUGAGUUGCGAACGGGUGAGUAACGCGUAGGUAACCUGCCUCUUAGCGGGGGAUAACUAUUGGGAACGAUAGCUAAUACCGCAUAAAAGUCGAUAUCGCAUGAUAUUGAUUUGAAAGGUGCAAUUGCAUCACUAAGAGAUGGACCUGCGUUGUAUUAGCUAGUUGGUGAGGUAACGGCUCACCAAGGCGACGAUACAUAGCCGACCUGAGAGGGUGAUCGGCCACACUGGGACUGAGACACGGCCCAGACUCCUACGGGAGGCAGCAGUAGGGAAUCUUCGGCAAUGGGGGCAACCCUGACCGAGCAACGCCGCGUGAGUGAAGAAGGUUUUCGGAUCGUAAAGCUCUGUUGUAAGAGAAGAACGAGUGUGAGAGUGGAAAGUUCACACUGUGACG
This 464-nucleotide ribosomal RNA is filed under the name Streptococcus parasanguinis. RNAcentral describes it as "bacterial SSU rRNA". It matches the Rfam family "Bacterial small subunit ribosomal RNA", at positions 28 to 474 of the family's 1533-position model. Lineage: Bacteria; Bacillati; Bacillota; Bacilli; Lactobacillales; Streptococcaceae. The record is from RNAcentral.